This 462-nucleotide unclassified non-coding RNA is filed under the name Hevea brasiliensis (rubber tree). Lineage: Eukaryota; Viridiplantae; Streptophyta; Magnoliopsida; Malpighiales; Euphorbiaceae. The record is from RNAcentral.
AUAAUUUUUCCUUGUUAGUCAUAGAAGUGGUUGAAAAAGCUCAUGAAAUUGAUUUGCAGAUGAUUAAUUACCCUUUUCACUUAAACAGGGAGACCUGGCCUCUCUUUUUACAGCUUUUUUAGUCCUGCCAACUUUUUGUAAGUUCAUGCACAGGUAUCUGAAGAGUCUCAAAGAGGCAGCGUUACCUGAUUUCACUUCGUAUGUGAAAGCUUCACGGGAAAACUAAAUAAGUACUACACUGAAACAUUUACUUGGAUCUCUUGAAAUUUUGAAAAGCAGGCUGUAGAGACUUCUACUGAAUUUUGCGCUUGCAAAUCAAAUUUGGAAAUUGGUCCAGGGAUGCAUCACAUUUCUGCUUCUCAUGUAAUCUCAACUGAACUUGUGAACAUACUGGAUGUCCUUUACAGAAUUCUCUCCUGAAGAGGAGGGUAGAAGUGAUGAACUAUUUAUGAGAGGUGUGUG